Long non-coding RNA from Humulus lupulus (European hop), 546 nucleotides. RefSeq lists it as uncharacterized. The transcript is spliced from 3 exons. The record is from RefSeq and is a predicted model, not a curated record. Lineage: Eukaryota; Viridiplantae; Streptophyta; Magnoliopsida; Rosales; Cannabaceae.
CUCUACUUUCUUCCCCAAGCCAUUCCAGAUACCCUGCUCGGUGCCCCCUUCCAGUCCCCAAGUGCUCCGUCGCCAUUCCGAAGCUAGCCCCAUCCAAACUAGCCUAGCAUUUCCGAAGGGUCCUAACUAGCCCCGUCCGAACUCGCCUAGCCUUUCCGCCACACUGUCCAUCUUCUUCAAAAUUUUCAGUUCUUCCUCAGACAAAGGAAGCUGCCUGCCACCAGUCACGGAUCGCCCCGACGUCGCUGCCAACCCCGUCGUUUCAAGUCAGCCCCUGCCCGCUUACAAAAUAAGAACAGAAAAGGAUAAUAGCAGGAGAGUGGCAUCAACAUUGUUUCCUUCUUUGAGUUCCCUUUUGCAGAGGAAAAAAAAGAUCACGAGAAUAUGGAUGGGAGUGGGGGAGCUUUCCCUGCAAAUUUCCCAUACCCGUUGACAACUCUAGUUGCAUAGGCUGAUUGCUCAUUCUCAAAAUCUCUAUAAAUUUGAGGACAGCUUCAAAUCAUCCAAAAACCCUUUAAAAGUGUUGUGUUCCUUCUCCUUUUCCUU